GGGGGGAUAAAAACCUUGUAAUUGCAAAUCUAGUCAAUACUGUAUUAAAUAUGUGCACUUUGAAGUGUGUGCUUUGCUUGUACAGAUGUAAAUACUCAGAAAAAUAUAAGAGGUACCUUAAAAUGAUUAUAAAAAUAUAUUGAUCCUUGUUAACUAUAAUGUCGCUAUCGAGCUGGAUGUAGAAUAUAAAAGAAAAAAAAAAAGACGUGAUGUCGUGCGUUCGGAAAUAUUUUUCUUUAACUACUAUUGUUUUUCAGUUUGGGUGUGCUGAGUUUGAUUCCUGCUCCGCUCUGCAGUGUGAGCAGGUCAUUUAUUGUAUUGUUUUUUUGUUUCUUUUGUUCUUUCAUUCCUUUUUAUUUUUUCGCUGUGCGUUCGGUCUCACCUGGAUGCUCAGGUGCGACAGUAACCCCGCCCUCCCCCUCCUCUGUGUUCACAGUCUGUGAUUCCGACAAAGCCGAGUGUCCACUGGCAUCCUCUUUGAAGCUCUGGCUUCUUUUUCUUUCACUGAUACAGUUGAUUUUGGGGGAAUUUUCCUCACAGUGUGUUUGCUUUUUGGACAGUCUGAAUGAAGCUUUUAGCAAAACAAAAACAAAGCACUACAUGUUGGAUAUUUACUCUGUUUUUGCCAUUGUUGAGUACUCUGCUAACAAUGCCAAAAGAUGAGACGUGACAUGAAAGCUGCAGCUAAAGGCAUUAAUGCAAAACUUUAGGUAACACUAAUACUUAAGAUGAGAUGUUCAUGCAUAUGCAGCUCAGUAGGCUAUAAUCAAACUGCACUGUGUCCACAUUGGUCGGGCAGCAUGACUAGACUGCAGCUUUUAUUUGAGAAUAUUAGAAAUCCUCGUUCUGGUUCCAAAUAUCCACCAACACAACGACCAUCUGAGGGCUUAUUUUAUCGGUUUUUGUCUGAUGAGCUCAAACUCUAUUUUCUCCUUUCUGUCCAGAUUUUAGGAUGAGUGAAUAUCACAGUUUUGGGGGUAAAUCAGAUUUCAGGAAACCAAAAGUCUGAGACCAGGAAGCAUUGAAGCUAGGCUAGGUUAGCAGAAACACUGGACGCCUGGCUCUGUUAUGUUUAAAAAUCUGUUUCUUUAAAUUUCACUAGUCAACACAUUUGAUUUUUGCACAUACACCAGUUUAAAUGUGUGAAAAAAUAAAUAGAAACCAAAUAAAUAGCACAUUUCUGUUGUUAGUCAGUGAACAGCACAUUAAAAAAGGCAACUAAACCUCACAAAUCUUUUUGUGUGGCAGACCGCGUGCAUCGGAUUAUUGGUUGUUACGUGUUUUGUUAGAUAAGCCAUUUUUUUUGUUUGUUUGUUUUUUCCAAACAGAGCCACGUGCUUUAUUAUAAAGGACAGGCGAAUACCCAAAAUACAUUUUUAAAAAAUUAAGUUUUGUUUUCAUAGAACAGCUAAAAGCUUUCCUGAGAAGGACUAAGCUUCAGUUUUAAAACGGUAAUAGUUUUGCUAGACGUUGUUUCUCAGAUUUAGUGUUUUUCACUGGUUUUUGUGCUUGGCCCUGUCAUGUAUAUUUAAUGGGUUUCUUAGAGCUUUGUAACUGAUUUUUGGAUUUAUCUGUGAUAAAUCACAGCGUUCAGAUUGUACCAGCCAGAGAUGAUCUUGAAAAGCUAUUCAACUAUCUUUACCCAAACUGAACAGAAAUUUUGCUGCAGACCAACAGGGGGCGCCCUGAGUGAACAGGAGUGAAUGAAGCAGGUUUUGUAGUUUUCACAAUCAUUGAUAAAUUGUCAGAUUAGAAAUAAAACACUUGGUGGGCUUUUAGACUUUGCACAUAAAAUCCCAGUGUUCUAAUCCUUUCAGAUUGACUGGAUUUACGACAGGAAACGCUCUUUUGAUGGUUUCAGUUUUCACACAAUGAUGAGAUGUUAGAAGUGUAGAUGAGCCACAGUGGAAACUUCAGUGUGCGUAUAAUAAGCAGCUGGUGGUCGUGGUGAUGCCAUCAGGAUACCAUCGAGGUGGUUCAUGCUCCACUGAUGUCUCUGGCAGAAAGGCAUUUUACUACAGUCGGAAACCUGUAAAAAUCUAAAAAUUGAGCUUUUAUUCAUCAUUUCAACCACUUCUGUCAGAAACAUGGUGAAGGAAAGUGUUUACUGGAAGUUCAGAGAAUGGGAGGAGUUGAGUAUUUCGAAGUGUGCUGAUAGAGAUCCUGUGCAUGGUAAAGCUGUUCAAGUCCAAUCUGACCAACUUCUGCAAAUGUUGUAUUCUCGGUUUAUCCGUUUCUCUGUGCGUUUGGGUCGGGGUCCAGUAAUCCCUUUGGUCUGAUUUCAUUUGUUAAGCAUUUCAGAUGCUGGACAGAAAACCAGAGCUUUUCAGACAGAAAUCAAUAAAAAGAAACCCUGAACCAUCGAAGCUGGCCAAUCAGCAGCUAAACAGACUUUGACGAACCAUCGGGCGGAUGCUGGUUUGCUGAAAAGAGCGAUGCUUGGUGGACACUUCUUGGUUUAGUCGAGGCGAUGUGAUGUGUGACGCCCAUCAGAAGCUUCACAGUGAAGCACAUCUUGAACACUCGGCACUUGUGGUGGGAGAUUAUUGCAGCCUGCCGCCAGGUGACGUCGAGUCUCGGGCCGUCGGAUUGUGCAUUUCAUUUUAAAAAAACAUUAAAAAAAACAAGGCGACUCGUUGGAGCUAAAAGUUUCCCGCCCAGGUGUCGACGUGGGCGCGAGACAUCCAAGGAGCCAAAAACCAUUCGACCCGCUCUGUGCAGUUUUGUUUCUUCUCUUCAGAUUAAUGUUUGUGAUUUCUUGUUCAUGUUCAUGUUCAUCAGCUCCAAGGUUUCCUCUCCUGAGAAAUAAAUGUACAAAUGUUUUGGUUUUUUCCUAUGUGCUUUUUUUUGUUUUUUUGGGGGGGUAGGGAGUAAAAGGCUCAACUGGAAUGAGAGUAGUUUACCUUGUUCAGAGCGAUGUUUCUCACGUACAGUACAUUUAACACGCAGGUUGACAUGUCUGUUAAAACCAUUUGAUCACAUGUUGGACUGCAGUUCGAUGUGGCAAAGAAAACCAAUAACCGUGCCAUUAUACAACAGUCGUUUUUGUCUUGGCUGGGCAGUUUAACCUGUACAUACAUAGCUGAGCGCUUACCGUCUCGGGCUUUUAUUUUUGUUUUUUACUUUAAGAUGUGAUUUUUCCUGUUACUGGAAGCCUGGAGACACCUUCAGUUUGACACCAGUGACUGUAGGAGCGUUUUUCACGCGGUGUAACUCGCGGUGGAUCCCCCGCCUGAGGUCGAGGUGCCGUCUGCCUCUGGUGGCCUCGAACUUUGAGAAUACAAACUGGGCAUCUCUGAACUGUGAAUGUGUGCAUGUGUGGAAUAAAAUAAAAUGUACCACCCAGCUAAUCCAGGCCGAUGCAAAAGUGACUCUUUCCACAAGCGCGGUACCUCAGACUGGAUGGUACCGCUUUCAAAGGGAUCUCUUAUUUUGGCGGGAAAGACUCGCCGCGAGCUCCUUGUGCCUCUUCAGUCUUGCCGGCGUUCAUCCAGAUGCUCAGUGGUGGCAUUUUUGAAGGAGCUCCCUUUUCCUCGUGGACUUCUGCAUGGAGCGUCACACUUCAUAUCAGCCUGUUGGUCGCCUCAGACCUCCUUCCUGUUCGUCCCUUUUGACAGUGCCAUUUUUCUUCUUUUGGGUUUUUUUUUUUUUGUUUGUUUGUUUUUGUUUUGUUUUUGUUUUCCCUCCAGGAGGGUUGCAUCUUGUCGUUUAAAAAAGAAAAAAUAGACCCCCUUGUGUUUUUGUGUUUUCAUUUUGUUUUUCAAAGAUGUAUAACAAUGAAUGCACACCAACUGACUGGAAGAGGACUAUGAACUCACUGUGGUUUAACUCAUUAACACUCUUACCAUGCUACGCUAACAGCUGUGGACAAUCGACGACUCCGUGUUGGGGUUUGGACAGAUAAUUUUGCCUAACGACACCUUUAACAGACGUGGAAUGGAGGUUUGCGAUCAAGAGGGCUUCUCUCUAUUUUCCUUUUGUUUUUUGUUUUUUUAAAUCUGGAUUUGGUUUAUUUUUUUGUUUUGUUUUUGUUUUUGUUAUUUUUUUUUUUUAUUUUUUUUUUGUUUGGGUCUUUUCUUCCAUCGAGACUGGAAUCAAGCGUACAUGUCAGCUAUAGAUAAUUUAAGUUACUCUUGUGUCAUGAUGUAAACUGUCUAAUUUGGAGAAAAAAAAUGUAGCUUACUGAAAAAUAAAGAUUUAGGCACUGUUGAGGAGCCACUGUGUGAUUUUUCUUUCUUUUCUUUCUUUUCCAAAAGAUCUUUUCAAACCUUUCUUGUUAGUUGUUCCAUAAUUACAGAAACUACAGUCAAUAUAGAGAAAAAUUACACAAAGUUCUUCCUCAUGAAAGGGGGGGAAAAAGUGAAAAACCUAAAUAAAUUUUUAAGCAAUACCUUGCAAAACAAUCUGAUUGCCUUCAGGAUGUAAAGUUCAUAGUGGCACUGUUAUGUUAUAAGCAUCAUUAUAGAGUGUGCAUCACUCAGAACCAGCUGUUUGAACAAUACA
This is a long non-coding RNA of Oreochromis aureus, 4503 nucleotides long. Lineage: Eukaryota; Metazoa; Chordata; Actinopteri; Cichliformes; Cichlidae. The record is from Ensembl.